UGGGUCGGCCGGACGGUCGCGUCGCGGGCGGUUCGCCGCCUGCGCCGAGGAACGUCCGGGCUCCGCAGGGCAGGGCGGUGGGUAACACCCACCCGGAGCGAUCCGCGAGACAGUGCCACAGAGAGCAGACCGCUCUCCGGUCCCGAGCUUGUCGAAGGGCCGGAGAGUAAGGGUGAAAGGGUGGUGUAAGAGACCACCGGGGCCGUGGUGACACGGCCCGCACGGUAAACCUCGCCCGGAGCAAGGCCAGACAGGGGAUGACGACGCGGCCCGCCGAGUCCCCGGGUAGGCCGCUGGAGCGGCACGGCAACGUGUCGCCGAGAGAGAUGACCGUCCACGGGGCUUCGGCCCCCGGACAGAACCCGGCGUACAGGCCGGCCCAUUCG
RNAcentral lists this RNase P RNA (386 nucleotides) under Microbacterium sp. BK668. Its description in RNAcentral is "Bacterial RNase P class A". It matches the Rfam family "Bacterial RNase P class A". Rfam says of the family: Ribonuclease P (RNase P) is a ubiquitous endoribonuclease, found in archaea, bacteria and eukarya as well as chloroplasts and mitochondria. Its best characterised activity is the generation of mature 5'-ends of tRNAs by cleaving the 5'-leader elements of precursor-tRNAs. The record is from Rfam by way of RNAcentral. Lineage: Bacteria; Bacillati; Actinomycetota; Actinomycetes; Micrococcales; Microbacteriaceae.